AUGUUGUGAUGAUGGGCAAAAUGUUCAACU
Molecule: non-coding RNA, 30 nt
Filed under: Cricetulus griseus (Chinese hamster)
Lineage: Eukaryota; Metazoa; Chordata; Mammalia; Rodentia; Cricetidae
Source: RNAcentral